UUCGAGAAAAGUUUGUAUUUC
This 21-nucleotide non-coding RNA is filed under the name Caenorhabditis elegans. The record is from RNAcentral. Lineage: Eukaryota; Metazoa; Nematoda; Chromadorea; Rhabditida; Rhabditidae.